GUCGACUUGGAGGUUGUGCCCUUGAGGCGUGGCUUCCGGAGCUAACGCGUUAAGUCGACCGCCUGGGGAGUACGGCCGCAAGGUUAAAACUCAAAUGAAUUGACGGGGGCCCGCACAAGCGGUGGAGCAUGUGGUUUAAUUCGAUGCAACGCGAAGAACCUUACCUACUCUUGACAUCCAGAGAACUUAGCAGAGAUGCUUUGGUGCCUUCGGGAACUCUGAGACAGGUGCUGCAUGGCUGUCGUCAGCUCGUGUUGUGAAAUGUUGGGUUAAGUCCCGCAACGAGCGCAACCCUUAUCCUUUGUUGCCAGCGGUUAGGCCGGGAACUCAAAGGAGACUGCCAGUGAUAAACUGGAGGAAGGUGGGGAUGACGUCAAGUCAUCAUGGCCCUUACGAGUAGGGCUACACACGUGCUACAAUGGCAUAUACAAAGAGAAGCGACCUCGCGAGAGCAAGCGGACCUCAUAAAGUAUGUCGUAGUCCGGAUUGGAGUCUGCAACUCGACUCCAUGAAGUCGGAAUCGCUAGUAAUCGUGGAUCAGAAUGCCACGGUGAAUACGUUCCCGGGCCUUGUACACACUAA
This 582-nucleotide ribosomal RNA is filed under the name Citrobacter freundii. Its description in RNAcentral is "bacterial SSU rRNA". It matches the Rfam family "Bacterial small subunit ribosomal RNA", at positions 811 to 1393 of the family's 1533-position model. Lineage: Bacteria; Pseudomonadati; Pseudomonadota; Gammaproteobacteria; Enterobacterales; Enterobacteriaceae. The record is from RNAcentral.